AUUGAACGCUGGCGGCAGGCCUAACACAUGCAAGUCGAGCGGAUGAAGGGAGCUUGCUCCUGGAUUCAGCGGCGGACGGGUGAGUAAUGCCUAGGAAUCUGCCUGGUAGUGGGGGAUAACGUCCGGAAACGGGCGCUAAUACCGCAUACGUCCUGAGGGAGAAAGUGGGGGAUCUUCGGACCUCACGCUAUCAGAUGAGCCUAGGUCGGAUUAGCUAGUUGGUGGGGUAAAGGCCUACCAAGGCGACGAUCCGUAACUGGUCUGAGAGGAUGAUCAGUCACAUUGGAACUGAGACACGGUCCAGACUCCUGCGGGAGGCAGCAGUGGGGAAUAUUGGGCAAUGGGCGAAAGCCUGAUCCAGCCAUGGCGCGUGUGUGAAGAAGGUCUUCGGAUUGUAAAGCACUUUAAGUUGGGAGGAAGGGCAGUAAGUUAAUACCUUGCUGUUUUGACGUUACCAACAGAAUAAGCACCGGCUAACUUCGUG
Molecule: ribosomal RNA, 484 nt
Filed under: uncultured bacterium
Lineage: Bacteria
Description: partial 16S ribosomal RNA
Rfam family: Bacterial small subunit ribosomal RNA
Source: RNAcentral